This 243-nucleotide unclassified non-coding RNA is filed under the name uncultured Scytalidium. RNAcentral describes it as "sequence contains ITS2". The stretch from base 1 to 52 matches the Rfam family "5.8S ribosomal RNA", at positions 103 to 154 of the family's 154-position model. The record is from RNAcentral. Lineage: Eukaryota; Fungi; Ascomycota.
AACGCACAUUGCGCCCCUUGGUAUUCCGAGGGGCAUGCCUGUUCGAGCGUCAUUUCAACCCUCAAGCUCUGCUUGGUAUUGGGCUACGCCAUCGCGGCAAGCCUUAAAAUUAGUGGCGGUGCCGUCUCGGCUCUAAGCGUAGUAACAAUCUCUCGCUCUGGAGACCUGGCGGUGCUUGCCAGACAACCACCAAUUUUUUUUAUGGUUGACCUCGGAUCAGGUAGGGAUACCCGCUGAACUUAA